Molecule: ribosomal RNA, 490 nt
Filed under: uncultured Actinomycetales bacterium
Lineage: Bacteria; Bacillati; Actinomycetota; Actinomycetes; Actinomycetales
Description: bacterial SSU rRNA
Rfam family: Bacterial small subunit ribosomal RNA
Source: RNAcentral
UGGCGGCGUGCUUAACACAUGCAAGUCGAACGAUGAAGCCGCAGCUUGCUGUGGUGGAUUAGUGGCGAACGGGCGAGUAACACGUGAGUAACCUGUCCUUUUCUUUGGGAUAACGGCUGGAAACGGCUGCUAAUACUGGAUAUUCAGGCUGCAUCGCAUGGUGUGGUUUGGAAAGGUUUUUUCUGGGAUUGGGUGGGCUCGCGGCCUAUCAGCUUGUUGGUGGGGUGAUGGCUUACCAAGGCUUUGACGAGUAGCCGGCCUGAGAGGGUGGUCGGUCGCACUGGGACUGAGAUACGGCCCAGACUCCUACGGGAGGCAGCAGUGGGGAAUAUUGCACAAUGGACGAAAGUUUGAUGCAGCGACGCCGCGUGGAGGGUGUAGGCCUUCGGGUUGUGAACUCCUUUUUCUCGCGAAAAAGGCACAGUUUUGGCUGUGUUGAUGGUAGUGGGGGAAGAAGCGCCGGCUAACUACGUGCCAGCCGCCGCGGUAA